ACUCAAAUGAAUAGACGGGGACUUGCACAAGCAGUGGAUUAUGUGGUUUAAUUCGAUGGUAAACGAAGAACCUUACCAGGGUUAGAAAUCAACGUGAAAGCUCCGAGAAACCGGAGCCCUCGCAAGACUAGUUGACAGGUGUUGCAUGGCCGUCGUCAGUUCGUGGUUUGAAUUGUUCCCUUAAGUGGGGUAACGAACGCAACCCUCGUUGUGUGUUACAAGUGUCACACGAGACCGCCCCCGCCAAAGUUUUUGAAGCAAAUUUAUUUUUGCAGUCGAAAUUUUUGGCGGGGGAGGAAGGAGAGGAUGACGCCAGGUCAGCAUGACCCUUGAUACCCUGGGCUACACACAUAAUACAAUGGCUACUACAGCGCGCAGCGACGGGGCGACCCUGAGCUAAUCGUCAAAAGUGGCCUCAGUUCGGAUUGGAGUCUGCAACUCGACUCCAUGAAGCUGGAAUUGCUAGUAAUCACAGGUCAGCUAAACUGUGGUGAAUACGUUCUCAAGUCUUGUACACACCGCCCGU
Molecule: ribosomal RNA, 526 nt
Filed under: uncultured bacterium
Lineage: Bacteria
Description: partial 16S ribosomal RNA
Rfam family: Bacterial small subunit ribosomal RNA
Source: RNAcentral